CAGUAGCCGCGGGAAUACGAGGGGGGCAAGCGUUGUUCGGAAUUAUUGGGCGUAAAGGGUGCGUAGGCGGUUUGAUAAGUCAUCUGUGAAAUCUCUGGGCUCAACCCAGAGUCUGCAGGCGAAACUGUCGGGCUUGAGUAUGGGAGAGGUGAGUGGAAUUUCCGGUGUAGCGGUGAAAUGCGUAGAUAUCGGAAGGAACACCUGUGGCGAAAGCGGCUCACUGGACCAUAACUGACGCUGAUGCACGAAAGCUAGGGGAGCAAACAGGAUUAGAUACCCCCGUAGUCCCUGUCUCUUAUAC
RNAcentral lists this ribosomal RNA (301 nucleotides) under uncultured bacterium. RNAcentral's name for it is "partial 16S ribosomal RNA". It matches the Rfam family "Bacterial small subunit ribosomal RNA", at positions 509 to 807 of the family's 1533-position model. The record is from RNAcentral.